Molecule: long non-coding RNA, 357 nt
Filed under: Marmota monax (woodchuck)
Lineage: Eukaryota; Metazoa; Chordata; Mammalia; Rodentia; Sciuridae
Source: RNAcentral
AAUUAUUUUUGGGAUCCUGUGUUAUUGAGGCUGAGGACUGACUUGGGUUCUGAGAGACUCCCUGUCUUGGACUGCAGUGGGAUCAGUCUCAUUAGGUUGAAUCUGCAGCCUAUGUUGGUGUUAAUCCUGGUGUCACAGAGUGUUAAAAGGGCUGGAAAAUCUGCUCAAACCUCCUGCUGUGAGCCAGCAGAAUUUUGGAACAGGAGAAGAAUGGCAGCAGAGAUGCAGACACUGAACUUUGGGCCUGAAUGAUCUGUUUGGACCCUGAAUAUGGAAUUCUCAUGGAAUUUUGAGGGCCAUCACAUUGUAGUGUGACUUUUCCCCAAAAGUUGGUGAUUAAAGAUCCUCUCUUCAGUG